Molecule: transfer RNA, 77 nt
Filed under: Caudoviricetes sp.
Lineage: Duplodnaviria; Heunggongvirae; Uroviricota; Caudoviricetes
Description: tRNA-Met
Rfam family: tRNA
About the family: Transfer RNA (tRNA) molecules are approximately 80 nucleotides in length.
Source: RNAcentral
UGCGGGAUAGAGCAGUGGCAGCUCAACAGCCUCAUACGCUGUGUGUCGGUGAGUUCGAUUCUCCCUCCCGCUACCAA